RNAcentral lists this long non-coding RNA (670 nucleotides) under Betta splendens (Siamese fighting fish). RNAcentral's name for it is "lncRNA (ENSBSLG00000020332.1)". The record is from RNAcentral. Lineage: Eukaryota; Metazoa; Chordata; Actinopteri; Anabantiformes; Osphronemidae.
GUUUUCCUCUCGCGGCAAUUUCUUUAUAAAUACAAGCUGAAAUUCAUUUCAUUGAAACAAAAUCGUUGUUUUUUUUUUGACACUAUCGUCUUCAAAGCGUACUGCAAUUUAAGGCCAGUGGAGGUAUAAACAGGAAGGCACUGUACGGAUGAAACCAGCAAUCAAGGACCCGUGAAGAACGACGGGGGAACGCUGGGAGGAUGCCACUGGAACGGCAAAGAAAGCAAAAGCCCAGAAUGAGUAAUUGCAACGCAAAUGAGGUGCUCCAAAGACAAAUGAGCCAACCAAAGAGAGAGCCCGUUCCCUCAGUUGGCUGUCUGUCUGCUGGAUUGUCCAAUGGAAGCCCGACUGGUCGUGGAAGAUGGCCGCCCACCUCGGGGGGGGGGACUACGUGACAGCUCCAACCAACACGCUGUAGCAGACAUCAUCGCGACAUCAAUCACACCACUUAAUAAACCGCUAUUUCAAUCACGCACAUCAGUGGUCUUUAUAGGAGGAAAAGCGUAUUGUUCUGUAGACACUGGGAGCAUUGAUGUGCAAAUCAUCCCUCCCAAAGUCCCCACUCUCAGCAGAAUACUGAAAAAGUCCACUUUGCAUUAAGUAAAUAGAUAAAUACAGUAGAAAAGAGACAUUCCGCAGGGGGACAGAACACACGAUGGUCCAAUAUUCC